Molecule: ribosomal RNA, 413 nt
Filed under: uncultured bacterium
Lineage: Bacteria
Description: partial 16S ribosomal RNA
Rfam family: Bacterial small subunit ribosomal RNA
Source: RNAcentral
AAUAUUGCGCAAUGGAGGGAACUCUGACGCAGCGACGCCGCGUGAGCGAUGAAGGUCUUCGGAUCGUAAAGCUCUGUCCUUGGGGAAGAAUGCUGUUGAAGAAACAGCUUGACGGUACCCGAGGAGGUAGCCCCGGCUAACUACGUGCCAGCAGCCGCGGUAAUACGUAGGGUGCAAGCGUUAAUCGGAAUUACUGGGCGUAAAGCGUGCGCAGGCGGUUCGGCAAGAAGGAUGUGAAAUCCCAGGGCUUAACCUUGGAACUGCAUUCUUAACUGCCGGGCUAGAGUAUGUCAGAGGGGGGUAGAAUUCCGCGUGUAGCAGUGAAAUGCGUAGAGAUGCGGAGGAAUACCGAUGGCGAAGGCAGCCCCCUGGGAUAAUACUGACGCUCAUGCACGAAAGCGUGGGGAGCAAAC